CCUACGUGAGGCAGCAGUGAGGAAUAUUGGUCAAUGGGCGGGAGACUGAACCAGCCAAGUCGCGUGAGGGAUGAAGGUACAGAGGAUCGUAAACCUCUUUUGUCAGGGAACAAAGGCGGGGACGUGUCCCCGGAUGAGUGUACCUGAAGAAAAAGCAUCGGCUAACUCCGUGCCAGCAGCCGCGGUAAUACGGGGGAUGCGAGCGUUAUCCGGAUUGCUUGGGGUUAAAGGGUGCGGAGGCGGUCUGUUAAGUCAGCGGUAAAAGCCCGGGGCUCAACCCCGGCCCGCCGUUGAACCUGGCAGUCUAGAGUUGGCGAGAAGUAUGCGGAAUGCGCGGUGUAGCGGUGAAAUGCAUAGAUAUCGCGCAGAACUCCGAUCGCGAAGGCAGCAUGCCGGAUCCACACUGACGCUGAGGCACGAAAGCGUGGGUAUCGAACAGGAUUAGAUACCCGAGUAGUC
This 459-nucleotide ribosomal RNA is filed under the name uncultured bacterium. RNAcentral's name for it is "partial 16S ribosomal RNA". It matches the Rfam family "Bacterial small subunit ribosomal RNA", at positions 338 to 795 of the family's 1533-position model. The record is from RNAcentral.